AUCAGAUUGUAGAUUAUUCAUCUUAUUAAAUUGCUUCUUGACAAAUUAAUAAAGCUAUAGACAAUUCAUGUUUUUAUUAUUGGAAAUGUAAUUCCUGAUUUUAGCAAUUGUUCCAAGUAAAACUUGACAUGAUGUCAAGAAUGAUAAUUUUAACUACUGAUAAUUUAAUUCUUGAUAUCAGAAAUUCAUAUCCUAGGAAUGAUUAAAAGUCAAAGCAGCUUGCCA
Molecule: long non-coding RNA, 225 nt
Organism: Rhinichthys klamathensis goyatoka
Lineage: Eukaryota; Metazoa; Chordata; Actinopteri; Cypriniformes; Leuciscidae
Exons: 2
Source: RefSeq, a predicted model, not a curated record